Molecule: unclassified non-coding RNA, 1432 nt
Filed under: Hevea brasiliensis (rubber tree)
Lineage: Eukaryota; Viridiplantae; Streptophyta; Magnoliopsida; Malpighiales; Euphorbiaceae
Source: RNAcentral
GGAUAAAGAAUGUCAGUUUCACCAAAUGAAGCGUUGUCAACCACAUGAAUCUUCAGUAUGUGUUUUAACUAGGUGAGACUAGAACACUUCCCUCUGAGAGAGGGCUACAUCCAGCUUGAAUUUGCUGCUUUUGCAACUGCUCCAAUUCACUAGAAGGGAAAACUUCUGAUUGAAGGGAUGGACAUAUUUUGUGCACAUGCAACCACGUCAGUUGCCAGAAACUGUCCCCUCCUACAGGAUCACUUGGCAUGAGAAUUCCACUAGUUUUCAUGAUAAGUAGAGUGUUCUUUAGGAGUUCAGGGACAAGUUCUGGAAUCUUCUCACUCCGUCUACCUUUAAAUUUCAUCUUCAUGCAUCUUUCAGUAUGAUCCAAUAACCCUAACCAUAGUUUGCAGAAGGAUGGCAACUGUGACAGAUGCUCCAAUGAUUGUAGAAACACUUUGAACAUGAGCUUCAGAGACAGAAAAAUUGCUCCUUCUAUGCUCCUGUAAUCCUUCAACGAACCUUGUGGUGCAAGUUCCAGCAAUUCAUCCAGCAUUGUAAAGAUGAGCUGAUCAAAACACUGCAACCACAGAUCAGUUGAAAUGUGAAUCCCCUCAAAUACUGUCAAGCACCUCUGCAACAUCAAGAUGGCAUGACCUCGCACCUCUUCUCUCCAAUCCAAACAAAACUUUCUGAGUCCCUGUACCAGCCUCAACCACAUCUCAGUUAUAUCCUGAGACAUUUUUAUAGCAGCCUCUUCCCCCAGAGCAUCCUUUGUUUUGUGAGACCAUCUAACAAGACAAACAAGUGACCCAGCCAUCAGGUCUAAGGAUCUCACAGCUUGAUCAACACUUCCAAUGCGGGAGUCAGCAAAGUGGCUUGCCGCAUUUAAACAAAGGAUGUAAUUAGCAGGCAGUAGGUGGGCCCCAUCAGCCAUGAUGAAUGAUAGUGUUUCAAAUCCUGCUUCAGAAGCUUCUGGAUGCCGAGCUGUAAUAGAAAGCAGAGAUAUAAUUGUCCGCCAGCCCAUAUUAGAUCUUAUCUGCAUAGCGUUUGCUUUGACAAGGUGCAUCACCUCCUGGGUUAUCUGUUCAAGAAAAGCAUCGGCGACCCUUGCAUCAAGCUUUAAGAUGAGUUGCAGUGACUUGAGGAGCUCAUCUGUGAGGUUUUCCUUGUAAGGAAGCAACCUUUGGCAUAUCCGAAGCACACCAAAAACAGCCUUCUCUACUAAAGAACAAGGCAUUGUUGUUGAUUGGACAAUACUUGCUAUGUGCUCAUAAACAACUUGCCAAAGGAGCAUUAUCCUAUCCCGGUUGUUUAUCGUGAUUGCAAUCAGCAACUCUAGACAGAAUACUGCAGUCUCUUCAUCUUCCAGAGAGAUAUUUCCCUUAUGAGGCCGGCCCGCAGCCAUCACGAGGGCCCGGACAAGCUGUGAAAGGGACUCUGCUUGCAA